Molecule: ribosomal RNA, 1485 nt
Filed under: uncultured bacterium
Lineage: Bacteria
Description: bacterial SSU rRNA
Rfam family: Bacterial small subunit ribosomal RNA
Source: RNAcentral
AGAGUUUGAUCCUGGCUCAGGAUGAACGCUAGCGGCAGGCCUAACACAUGCAAGUCGAGGGGUAACAGGGAGCUUGCUCCGCUGACGACCGGCGCACGGGUGCGCACCGCGUAUGGAACCUACCUUGUACAGGGGAAUAGCCCAGGGAAACUUGGAUUAAUGCCCCGUAGUACUAUUAUUCGGCAUCGUUUAAUAGUUAAAGAUUUCGGUCGGUACAAGAUGGCCAUGCGUCCCAUUAGCUAGUUGGUAAGGUAACGGCUUACCAAGGCUACGAUGGGUAGGGGCCCUGAGAGGGGGAUCCCCCACACUGGUACUGAGACACGGACCAGACUCCUACGGGAGGCAGCAGUGAGGAAUAUUGGACAAUGGAGGAGACUCUGAUCCAGCCAUGCCGCGUGCAGGAAGAAUGCCCUAUGGGUGGUAAACUGCUUUUAUACGGGAAGAAAAAGAGCUACGUGUAGCUUACUGACGGUACCGUAAGAAUAAGGACCGGCUAACUCCGUGCCAGCAGCCGCGGUAAUACGGAGGGUCCGAGCGUUAUCCGGAAUUAUUGGGUUUAAAGGGUCCGUAGGCGGGCCGAUAAGUCAGGGGUGAAAGUUUGCAGCUCAACUGUAAAAUUGCCUUUGAUACUGUUGGUCUUGAGUUAUAGUGAAGUUGCCGGAAUAUGUAGUGUAGCGGUGAAAUGCAUAGAUAUUACAUAGAACACCGAUUGCGAAGGCAGGUGACUAACUAUAUACUGACGCUGAUGGACGAAAGCGUGGGGAGCGAACAGGAUUAGAUACCCUGGUAGUCACGCCGUAAACGAUGGAUACUAGCUGUCCGAGGCCUUGAGUCUUGGGCGGGCAAGCGAAAGUGAUAAGUAUCCCACCUGGGGAGUACGUUCGCAAGAAUGAAACUCAAAGGAAUUGACGGGGGCCCGCACAAGCGGUGGAGCAUGUGGUUUAAUUCGAUGAUACGCGAGGAACCUUACCAGGGCUUAAAUGCAUAUUGACAGGUCUAGAGAUAGACUUUCCUUCGGGCAAUUUGCAAGGUGCUGCAUGGUUGUCGUCAGCUCGUGCCGUGAGGUGUCAGGUUAAGUCCUAUAACGAGCGCAACCCCUACCGUUAGUUGCCAGCAUGUCAUGAUGGGGACUCUAACGGGACUGCCGGUGCAAACCGUGAGGAAGGUGGGGAUGACGUCAAAUCAUCACGGCCCUUACGUCCUGGGUCACACACGUGCUACAAUGGCAGGUACAGAGAGCAGCCAUGUCGCAAGGCAGAGCGAAUCUAUAAAACCUGUCACAGUUCGGAUCGGGGUCUGCAACUCGACCCCGUGAAGCUGGAAUCGCUAGUAAUCGGAUAUCAGCCGUGAUCCGGUGAAUACGUUCCCGGGCCUUGUACACACCGCCCGUCAAGCCAUGGAAGCCGGGAGUGCCUGAAGUCCGUCACCGUAAGGAGCGGCCUAGGGCAAGAUCGGUAACUAGGGCUAAGUCGUAACAAGGUAACC